This 495-nucleotide ribosomal RNA is filed under the name uncultured bacterium. RNAcentral describes it as "partial 16S ribosomal RNA". It matches the Rfam family "Bacterial small subunit ribosomal RNA", at positions 28 to 507 of the family's 1533-position model. The record is from RNAcentral.
GACGAACGCUGGCGGCGUGCCUAAUACAUGCAAGUAGAACGCUGAAGGAGGAGCUUGCUCUUCUGGAUGAGUUGCGAACGGGUGAGUAACGCGUAGGUAACCUGCCUGGUAGCGGGGGAUAACUAUUGGAAACGAUAGCUAAUACCGCAUAACAGUAGAUGUUGCAUGACAUUUGCUUAAAAGGUGCAAUUGCAUCACUACCAGAUGGACCUGCGUUGUAUUAGCUAGUUGGUGGGGUAACGGCUCACCAAGGCGACGAUACAUAGCCGACCUGAGAGGGUGAUCGGCCACACUGGGACUGAGACACGGCCCAGACUCCUACGGGAGGCAGCAGUAGGGAAUCUUCGGCAAUGGACGGAAGUCUGACCGAGCAACGCCGCGGGAGUGAAGAAGGUUGUCGGAUCGUAAAGCUCUGUUGUAAGAGAAGAACGAGUGUGAGAGUGGAAAGUUCACACUGUGACGGUAUCUUACCAGAAAGGGACGGCUAACUACGUG